Long non-coding RNA from Equus caballus (horse), 1835 nucleotides. RefSeq lists it as uncharacterized. The record is from RefSeq and is a predicted model, not a curated record. NCBI's taxonomy places the organism in Eukaryota, Metazoa, Chordata, Mammalia, Perissodactyla, Equidae.
UUGGCCCGGGCGAUACCCACCCCUCCCACUCCCCGCCCCCUCCUUGGCAGGGUAGCUGCGCGUGCGCGGUGGCUGCGGAGAGCAACGCGUAAGGCUGACCGCUGGCGUUCUUGGUCCCCGACCGCCGGUACCCGGCAUCCUUCCUUAUCCGGGACAGCUUGGAGCCCUGGAUGACCUGAGGAGCCAGGAGUCACACUCAGACUGCACCGUGGAUCGUCCUUAUUCAGCUGUGAACGAAUCUACAGGAAAAACCUAACUGGAAUGUGCCAGGCUCUAGCCAGAGGAGACCCCAAAACUAUGAACUGCAACAGAUAACGAGCCGCUGGCUCCGACGCAUCUGCGACCAGUCUCGGGGUGCUUUAUCCACACGCUGGAUUCAUUCCAUGAUGCUGAGUGAGGAAAGCUGGAUUCUCGUCGCAGCCCGGCCACGACCAACUACUUGACCUUGGCUCCUAUGAAUGAUGUAAGGUCUAGAAUUAAUGCAGCUACGUGUGACCACAAGAAUAGAGACUAGAUUGCCAAGCAGUGGAUGAAUCCUGAGGAAGGCAGAAUGGGAAAAUGGAAAAUAAACAGAACCUCAGUUACAUCGUUGAGCAGUGAACAGCCCGAUCAAGCCACACCUGAAGCUGAUUACCCCAUACCUUCCAGUUAUAUGAGCCAAUACUUUUCCUUUGUGGUCAUUGGAGUUUAGUUUUCUGUCUAUAACAUAAAUAGUCCUAACAGUAACACAACAAUCUCUCUUGGCCUCCAUUUUGUCAUGAAUAGAAUAAAGAUAAUAUGAAUAAUCUCUAAGAAUUCUGCCAGCUCUCACAUCCUAUAAGUCUCUGAAGGGUAAAUAUAUUCACAAAAAUGAAAGUGCAUUAUCAUUGACAAGCAAGCACUAAGGACAAUAAAACUCCCUAGUUUAACCCAACAAAAGAUAGCUGAGACUAUGAAUACAAACAGAAAUCCUUAAUCUUUGGCCUAUACCAGGAGUUACUCUGAUCUCCAUCCUCUCCCCCUAUACUUCAGCCACUUGUUCCUAUACACUGAGGAUAGUUCAUGGGGGAGGGGUGGUCUGGAAAGAAGUGUAUAAGGUGGCCCUGCGUUAGAAGACUUGGGUUCUUGUUGGUGGUGCCCUUGGCCUUAGACCCCUUAUCCAGAUUCUGACCUCUUCUCUCCGAACUCUUUGACCUGAGUGCUCCCUUCUACCUUCUCUCUCUCCAGAUCUGACCUCUGAAUCCUAUAUUUCACUCACCAGCAUCCCCUCCUAUCUGCGUUCCCAACACUGCCUACCUUCGAUCAACUGGAAAUGAUGAUAUAUUAGCCAGCAACUCCAGAGCACAGAUUCGUUUAUCUGUAGCAACAGGGCCUAGAGGAAGGAGACAGGGAUGGUUAUUUAGUGGAGGAGAGUCACUUAAUAAAAGAGAUUAAGCACCUUAGGAGCCUGAAGGGUUGAGCAAAUUGUUUGAUGCACUGCACUAGCAAUUAUGUGUGAAAGGCUUCACGUACGGGAUACAGACCCCACAUAAAAUUAUGCAUUUGCACAUGCAAUUGUAAUUAACAUCCUAAUUUGAAAAAGCGCUGCUUGGGUCCCUGUGAGGUAUCGCAUUGGGACACUGGGAACCUCACCUGGAGGCACUGGGAACCUUAGGAAAAGGCAACGUGGAAAGAAUCUGGGUUGCUUCCCUGGAAAUAAAAAUGAAGAGUAUGCUACUGAUUAAGUUUGCUCUUUGUUCUGGCUUUGCGAGAUUCAUGGGAAAAGACAGAUCUUCAGCACUGUUUUGAUUGAUUCAUCUAACAUUUUGUGACCAGAUAACCUCUGCUUACAGAGAUGACUAAGACAAUGUUGCUCU